This 324-nucleotide unclassified non-coding RNA is filed under the name Cladonia rangiformis. RNAcentral's name for it is "partial 28S-18S ribosomal RNA intergenic spacer". The record is from RNAcentral. Lineage: Eukaryota; Fungi; Ascomycota; Lecanoromycetes; Lecanorales; Cladoniaceae.
ACCGAAGCCCGUAGCCGCCUUCGGGCGUGACGGGUGGCUGGUAUCCUCCUUCUGAGGGGUGUAUGGCGCAGCUUGGGCCGGCUCUUUGGGUCGCGGAUUCCCAGUGUUGCGGCGGACCAUCCCUUGGGCAACUCAGUGGGGGCAAUUGGAUGGCCCGUAGGCACCUUUGGCGGCUCCGGCCCUGAAGGUGGCUCGGGGCUGGGUGUUGGGCUUCGGUCCACGUCCCGACCUUUUAACUAGCUCUGAUACCUCUUCAUUGAGGGUUGCCGGGGUGGUCAUUUCGUCUUUCGGGGCGGGAUGGCCUCUCGGGAAAGAUAGUUACCU